UUAAGUUAUUAAGGGCGCACGGUGGAUGCCUUGGCACUAGAAGCCGAUGAAGGACGUUACUAACGACGAUAUGCUUUGGGGAGCUGUAAGUAAGCUUUGAUCCAGAGAUUUCCGAAUGGGGAAACCCAGCAUGAGUUAUGUCAUGUUAUCGAUAUGUGAAUACAUAGCAUAUCAGAAGGCACACCCGGAGAACUGAAACAUCUUAGUACCCGGAGGAAGAGAAAGAAAAUUCGAUUCCCUUAGUAGCGGCGAGCGAAACGGGAAGAGCCCAAACCAACAAGCUUGCUUGUUGGGGUUGUAGGACACUCUAUACGGAGUUACAAAGGACGACAUUAGACGAAUCAUCUGGAAAGAUGAAUCAAAGAAGGUAAUAAUCCUGUAGUCGAAAAUGUUGUCUCUCUUGAGUGGAUCCUGAGUACGACGGAGCACGUGAAAUUCCGUCGGAAUCUGGGAGGACCAUCUCCUAAGGCUAAAUACUCUCUAGUGACCGAUAGUGAACCAGUACCGUGAGGGAAAGGUGAAAAGCACCCCGGAAGGGGAGUGAAAUAGAACCUGAAACCGUGUGCUUACAAGUAGUCAGAGCCCGUUAAUGGGUGAUGGCGUGCCUUUUGUAGAAUGAACCGGCGAGUUACGAUUUGAUGCAAGGUUAAGCAGUAAAUGUGGAGCCGUAGCGAAAGCGAGUCUGAAUAGGGCGUUUAGUAUUUGGUCGUAGACCCGAAACCAGGUGAUCUACCCUUGGUCAGGUUGAAGUUCAGGUAACACUGAAUGGAGGACCGAACCGACUUACGUUGAAAAGUGAGCGGAUGAACUGAGGGUAGCGGAGAAAUUCCAAUCGAACCUGGAGAUAGCUGGUUCUCUCCGAAAUAGCUUUAGGGCUAGCCUCAAGUGAUGAUUAUUGGAGGUAGAGCACUGUUUGGACGAGGGGCCCCUCUCGGGUUACCGAAUUCAGACAAACUCCGAAUGCCAAUUAAUUUAACUUGGGAGUCAGAACAUGGGUGAUAAGGUCCGUGUUCGAAAGGGAAACAGCCCAGACCACCAGCUAAGGUCCCAAAAUAUAUGUUAAGUGGAAAAGGAUGUGGCGUUGCCCAGACAACUAGGAUGUUGGCUUAGAAGCAGCCAUCAUUUAAAGAGUGCGUAAUAGCUCACUAGUCGAGUGACACUGCGCCGAAAAUGUACCGGGGCUAAACAUAUUACCGAAGCUGUGGAUUGUCCUUUGGACAAUGGUAGGAGAGCGUUCUAAGGGCGUUGAAGCAUGAUCGUAAGGACAUGUGGAGCGCUUAGAAGUGAGAAUGCCGGUGUGAGUAGCGAAAGACGGGUGAGAAUCCCGUCCACCGAUUGACUAAGGUUUCCAGAGGAAGGCUCGUCCGCUCUGGGUUAGUCGGGUCCUAAGCUGAGGCCGACAGGCGUAGGCGAUGGAUAACAGGUUGAUAUUCCUGUACCACCUAUAAUCGUUUUAAUCGAUGGGGGGACGCAGUAGGAUAGGCGAAGCGUGCGAUUGGAUUGCACGUCUAAGCAGUAAGGCUGAGUAUUAGGCAAAUCCGGUACUCGUUAAGGCUGAGCUGUGAUGGGGAGAAGACAUUGUGUCUUCGAGUCGUUGAUUUCACACUGCCGAGAAAAGCCUCUAGAUAGAAAAUAGGUGCCCGUACCGCAAACCGACACAGGUAGUCAAGAUGAGAAUUCUAAGGUGAGCGAGCGAACUCUCGUUAAGGAACUCGGCAAAAUGACCCCGUAACUUCGGGAGAAGGGGUGCUCUUUAGGGUUAACGCCCAGAAGAGCCGCAGUGAAUAGGCCCAAGCGACUGUUUAUCAAAAACACAGGUCUCUGCUAAACCGUAAGGUGAUGUAUAGGGGCUGACGCCUGCCCGGUGCUGGAAGGUUAAGAGGAGUGGUUAGCUUCUGCGAAGCUACGAAUCGAAGCCCCAGUAAACGGCGUCCGUAACUAUAACGGUCCUAAGGUAGCGAAAUUCCUUGUCGGGUAAGUUCCGACCCGCACGAAAGGCGUAACGAUUUGGGCACUGUCUCAACGAGAGACUCGGUGAAAUCAUAGUACCUGUGAAGAUGCAGGUUACCCGCGACAGGACGGAAAGACCCCGUGGAGCUUUACUGUAGCCUGAUAUUGAAAUUCGGCACAGCUUGUACAGGAUAGGUAGGAGCCUUUGAAACGUGAGCGCUAGCUUACGUGGAGGCGCUGGUGGGAUACUACCCUAGCUGUGUUGGCUUUCUAACCCGCACCACUUAUCGUGGUGGGAGACAGUGUCAGGCGGGCAGUUUGACUGGGGCGGUCGCCUCCUAAAAGGUAACGGAGGCGCUCAAAGGUUCCCUCAGAAUGGUUGGAAAUCAUUCAUAGAGUGUAAAGGCAUAAGGGAGCUUGACUGCGAGACCUACAAGUCGAGCAGGGUCGAAAGACGGACUUAGUGAUCCGGUGGUUCCGCAUGGAAGGGCCAUCGCUCAACGGAUAAAAGCUACCCCGGGGAUAACAGGCUUAUCUCCCCCAAGAGUUCACAUCGACGGGGAGGUUUGGCACCUCGAUGUCGGCUCAUCGCAUCCUGGGGCUGUAGUCGGUCCCAAGGGUUGGGCUGUUCGCCCAUUAAAGCGGUACGCGAGCUGGGUUCAGAACGUCGUGAGACAGUUCGGUCCCUAUCCGUCGUGGGCGUAGGAAAUUUGAGAGGAGCUGUCCUUAGUACGAGAGGACCGGGAUGGACAUACCUCUGGUGUACCAGUUGUCGUGCCAACGGCAUAGCUGGGUAGCUAUGUGUGGACGGGAUAAGUGCUGAAAGCAUCUAAGCAUGAAGCCCCCCUCAAGAUGAGAUUUCCCAACUUCGGUUAUAAGAUCCCUCAAAGAUGAUGAGGUUAAUAGGUUCGAGGUGGAAGCAUGGUGACAUGUGGAGCUGACGAAUACUAAUCGAUCGAAGACUUAAUCAA
Molecule: ribosomal RNA, 2921 nt
Filed under: Staphylococcus aureus M65003
Lineage: Bacteria; Bacillati; Bacillota; Bacilli; Caryophanales; Staphylococcaceae
Description: bacterial LSU rRNA
Rfam family: Bacterial large subunit ribosomal RNA
Source: RNAcentral